RNAcentral lists this ribosomal RNA (1429 nucleotides) under Scopalina carmela. Its description in RNAcentral is "partial large subunit ribosomal RNA". It matches the Rfam family "Eukaryotic large subunit ribosomal RNA", at positions 25 to 1254 of the family's 3401-position model. The record is from RNAcentral. Lineage: Eukaryota; Metazoa; Porifera; Demospongiae; Bubarida; Dictyonellidae.
CUGCUGAAUUUAAGCAUAUAAAUAAGCGGAGGAAAAGAAACCAACAGGGAUUCCCCCAGUAACGGCGAGCGAAGCGGGAACAGCUCGAGCAUGAAAUCUCCGGCAGUUAUGCCGGCGAAUUGUGGCCGAGAGUGGCAGCUUGGUUCUGGUUCCGAUGCCGAAGUUUGCCUGGAAAGGCACGUCAGAGAGGGCGAGAACCCCGUGCGUGGCAGAGGACACCAGGACCGCCAACUGCACACGGAGAGUCGGGUUGUUUGGGAAUGCAGCCCAAAGUUGGUGGUAAACUCCAUCUAAAGCUAAAUACUGGCACGAGACCGAUAGCAAACAAGUACCGUGAGGGAAAGGUGAAAAGUACUUUGAAAAGAGAGUCAAAGAGAACGCGAAACCGUUAGGAGGGAAGCGAAUGCAGCCAGUACGAGUCCCGUCAGGUUCAGGGGCAGCGGACGCGUCGCUCUGGGGUAGCCUAGAUGGCUCCCGAGGGUUGUCGCGCGGCCGCGCAUCUGCACUCCUGCGGGGUUCUUGCCAACGGCAGUGGUCGGUGCCCACGAGCAGUCGGGGAGGUACCCUUCCCCUCCUCGGAGGAGGGAGGAACAUAUAACCUUUCUGUGACGGACAUCGGCGACUGAGGAGACGAUCACUUCUGAUCUGACGACGCAGGCUCCCCCCCGGGGUGGGCUGGCCCCCCUCUCGGACGUCCGGCCUCGCGACCCAGGACUGCGUGCAGUGCUGGGACGCGUGUGCCUUCGACCGGGCGGGAAGGGUGCAACUGCGUCCGGCGGUUGGCAAAACNNNNNNNNNNNNNNNNNNNNUUGAAACACGGACCAAGGAGUGCAACACGCCCGCGAGUCUUUGGGUGGCAAACCCGCCGGCGAAAUGAAAGUGAAGGUGCCCUCUCGGGUACCGAGGCGAGAGCCGCGUAAAAGCGGUGCAUCGUCGACCGAUCCUAUCCACGUCGUGGGGGGAUUCGAGUUAGAGCGUGCCUGUUGCGACCCGAAAGAUGGUGAACUAUGCCUGAAUAGGGUGAAGCCAGAGGAAACUCUGGUGGAAGCUCGUAGCGAUUCUGACGUGCAAAUCGAUCGUCAAAUUUGGGUAUAGGGGCGAAAGACUAAUCGAACCAUCUAGUAGCUGGUUCCCUCCGAAGUUUCCCUCAGGAUAGCUGGAACCCGGAGCAGUUUUAUCAGGUAAAGCGAAUGAUUAGAGGUCUUGGGGUUGAAACAACCUCAACCUAUUCUCAAACUUUAAAUGGGUAAGAAGUCUGGCUUGCUCGACUUGAAGUCAGACAUAGAAUGCCGGGGUUCCUAGUGGGCCAUUUUUGGUAAGCAGAACUGGCGAUGCGGGAUGAACCGAACGCUGGGUUAAGGUGCCCGAAUCGGCGCUCAUCAGACACCAUGAAAGGUGUUGGUUGAUCUAGACAGCAGGACGGUGGCCA